Molecule: ribosomal RNA, 254 nt
Filed under: uncultured bacterium
Lineage: Bacteria
Description: partial 16S ribosomal RNA
Rfam family: Bacterial small subunit ribosomal RNA
Source: RNAcentral
UACGGAGGGUGCGAGCGUUGUCCGGAAUCAUUGGGCGUAAAGGGCGCGUAGGUGGCCCGGUCAGUUCGUGGUGAAAGCGCGGGGCUCAACCCUGCGUCGGCCAUGAAUACUGCCGCGGCUGGAGCACUGUAGAGGCAGGCGGAAUUCCGGGUGCAGCGGUGGAAUGCGUAGAGAUCCGGAAGAACACCGGUGGCGAAGGCGGCCUGCUGGGCAGUUGCUGACACUGAGGCGCGACAGCGUGGGGAGCAAACAGG